Molecule: small RNA, 1567 nt
Filed under: Caenorhabditis elegans
Lineage: Eukaryota; Metazoa; Nematoda; Chromadorea; Rhabditida; Rhabditidae
Description: Unclassified non-coding RNA Y69H2.32
Source: RNAcentral
GACAUCCCACCAAUGGGAUGCUCUUCUAUGCUCUGCGCCAACGGAACAACAUGCCGAGAAGACAGGGUGAAAUGUGACAAGCGUCCUUGGUAAGGAAACCCCAGAAGCUUCAAAAACCUGAAAAUUUUUUGAAAAAUUCGAAAAAAUUCAGCCCAAUACGAGCACUAUGCCUGCCGAACUUUCAACCAAAUGGAAAACCGAGCUUUUGCGAAGUGGCCGGCUGUGGUGCCGGGGAGAUUUGCCAUGAAACUAUAGAAAUAUGCGGGGAACCUCCUUGGUAGGUGCCUUGAAAUUUUAGGCCAAAAUUUUGAAAUUCAAGUAGUUUACAGCAGAUCUAUGGCCACCUGCCUGCCGACAACCAACCACACCGUCAAUAUAACUGACAUCGGAUGCUCUAACGCUACUUGUCCAGUUGGGAAAAAGUGCGAAGAAGUCACAGUGGCGUGCUUCAGUCCUCCAUGGUAAAUGGUCCUGAAGCUAUAUAUUAUAUAUUCCUUAAAAAUGUGCAUUUCAGCCUGAAAUCUGUAAGAUGUGUUGGAGAAAACUGGAUUCAGGAGGUGAAUUUCGACUGUGACGCGAUGCGAUGUGGGCCUGAUGAGGGAUGUAUGCAGAGUGUGGAAAUUUGUGAGAGGCCUCCGUGGUAGGUGGAUUAGGCUUAGGCUCAGGCUCAGGCUCCGGCUCAGGCUCAGGCUCAGGCUCAGGCUCAGGCUCAGGCUCAGGCUCAGGCUCAGGCUCAGGCUCAGGCUAAGACUUAGACUAAGACUUACGCUUAGUCUCAGGCUUAGGCGGAGCUGGGGUGGGGAGAUAAAAAAAAAGAGGAAAAGGAAAUUUCCAGAAAUUCUUGUAAAUUCAGAAAAUUUAGAAAAAAAAAACGAAAAACGACAAAAAAAUUUUCAAAAUGUAUUUUACCUAUUUUAAAUUUCAAUUUCUUCGGAAACUCUUUUUCAGCCCAACAAAAUCAUGGUGCAUCGUCCAAACAAAUGUGGACACUUUUACAAAAUGUCCUAAAAACCAAACUAUGACGGAUUGCCUCAACCCAUGCAGUGAAGAUAAGUGCCCAGGAAUUUUAAAGGUAGAAAUUUUGUUUGAAAGUUUUCGAAAAAAAAAUUCAAAUUUUAAUUUUCGAAAUUUUUUAAAUGUCAAAAUUUCAAUUUUACUUUGUUAAUUUUUUGGAAAAUUAGCAAUAAAUUUUUUUAAAAACUAAAAAAAAUUUUUUUUUUUAACUUUAAAAUUCAACCACUUCUUUCCGCUUUUUUUUAAAAAUACAUCAGUUUACUACAGAAAACCGAAUGCACAAAUCGCUGCGGCCAGGGAUGUGCUUGUGCCUACGGCUACCUCCGAUCCAGCGACGGCGAGUGCUACAAGCCCAAGGAUUGUCCACCAGAGUGCGGUCAAAACGAGGAGUACCGGUGUGAAAAGUGCGCGGGAACCUGUAAAAACCCGGAGCCCAACUGCCCCGGACCAAAGAACAAGAGCUGUAAGAGGGCUUGCAUUUGUGCACCGGGCUUUGUAAAGGAGAAUGGAAAAUGUGUGACGCUGGAUAGCUGCCCGGAUCAUGAUCAUACAA